AAACCAUGAUGAGGGCAUUCUCUCUCAUACUCUUUAAAUCGCUCUCAGGCUUCAUAGAAUAAUUAUACUGGGCAU
Molecule: small nucleolar RNA, 75 nt
Filed under: Eutrema salsugineum
Lineage: Eukaryota; Viridiplantae; Streptophyta; Magnoliopsida; Brassicales; Brassicaceae
Description: Plant small nucleolar RNA R71
Rfam family: Plant small nucleolar RNA R71
About the family: R71 is a member of the C/D box family of snoRNAs containing the C (UGAUGA) and D (CUGA) box motifs.
Source: Rfam by way of RNAcentral